GAUGAACGCUGGCGGCGUGCCUAAUACAUGCAAGUCGAGCGAACGGACGAGAAGCUUUCUUCUCUGAUGUUAGCGGCUGACGGGUGAGUAACACGUGGAUAGCCUACCUAUAAGACUUGGAUAACUUCGUGAAACCGGAGCUAAUACCGGAUAAUAUUUUGAACCGCAUGGUUCAAAAGUGAAAGACGGUCUUGCUGUCACUUAUAGAUGGAUCCGCGCUGCAUUAGCUAGUUGGUAAGGUAACGGCUUACCAAGGCAACGAUGCAUAGCCGACCUGAGAGGGUGAUCGGCCACACUGGAACUGAGACACGGUCCAGACUCCUACGGGAGGCAGCAGUAGGGAAUCUUCCGCAAUGGGCGAAAGCCUGACGGAGCAACGCCGCGUGAGUGAUGAAGGUCUUCGGAUCGUAAAACUCUGUUAUUAGGGAAGAACAGAUGUGUAAGUAACUGUGCACAUCUUGACGGUACCUAAUCAGAAAGCCACGGCUAACUACGUG
Molecule: ribosomal RNA, 497 nt
Filed under: uncultured bacterium
Lineage: Bacteria
Description: partial 16S ribosomal RNA
Rfam family: Bacterial small subunit ribosomal RNA
Source: RNAcentral